RNAcentral lists this long non-coding RNA (385 nucleotides) under Elaeis guineensis (African oil palm). RNAcentral's name for it is "long non-coding RNA (EGUI_LNC063229)". The record is from RNAcentral. Lineage: Eukaryota; Viridiplantae; Streptophyta; Magnoliopsida; Arecales; Arecaceae.
GAUGGCACGGCAUGGCUCAUAGAUGGGGGUGCACUGACUGAGGGUCCUAUCUCAGGCUUUGAUACAAAGGCUCUGCCUGGGCUCAGGUGAUGAUGAGGGAGUCUCUCCCUCAGCAUGCUCUUCCUCCUCCUCGACUGCAGCUACACGAUCCUUGGCCCAACGACCAUCUACUCUGAUAAAACUCAUACAUCGAAGGGAGUGGUCAUUGUAGGUGUCAGUAUUCAAUAAUUUGCAAACAAUCUUCCCCUUAAAGCUCACACCAGACUCCCUAAAUAUCAUUAUCAAAACCAUUCCAUAGGGCAAGGGAGCCUUGGAUCUAUUCAAGGCCUCCCUCAUGGCAUCAAUCAUCAGGAAUGGCAGAUUUGGUGGAGACUCAGAGACUACA